AUUGAACGCUGGCGGAAUGCUUUACACAUGCAAGUCGAACGGCAGCACGGGGGCGAACCCUGGUGGCGAGUGGCGAACGGGUGAGUAAUACAUCGGAACGUGCCCAGUCGUGGGGGAGUAACUACGCGAAAGCGUAGCUAAUACCGCAUACGAUCUACGGAUGAAAGCGGGGAGUCGCAAGACCUCGCGCGAUUGGAGCGGCCGAUGGCAGAUUAGGUAGUUGGUGAGGUAAAGGCUCACCAAGCCUUCGAUCUGUAGCUGGUCUGAGAGGACGACCAGCCACACUGGGAC
Molecule: ribosomal RNA, 291 nt
Filed under: uncultured bacterium
Lineage: Bacteria
Description: partial 16S ribosomal RNA
Rfam family: Bacterial small subunit ribosomal RNA
Source: RNAcentral